Gossypium hirsutum (cotton) is the source of this 131-nucleotide non-coding RNA. The record is from Rfam. Lineage: Eukaryota; Viridiplantae; Streptophyta; Magnoliopsida; Malvales; Malvaceae.
UAUUAAAAAUUGGAUCCAUUUAUACGGUUAAAAACUGACAUGGUUGCUGUAAUAACCAAACAGUGACAUAUACAUCAUGUUAAUGUACAAGGACCAAUUUUUAACAAAAGAAAUUGAUAGAAUUUUUAAGA